Molecule: ribosomal RNA, 465 nt
Filed under: Vreelandella stevensii
Lineage: Bacteria; Pseudomonadati; Pseudomonadota; Gammaproteobacteria; Oceanospirillales; Halomonadaceae
Description: partial 16S ribosomal RNA
Rfam family: Bacterial small subunit ribosomal RNA
Source: RNAcentral
CCUACGGGAGGCAGCAGUGGGGAAUAUUGGACAAUGGGGGGAACCCUGAUCCAGCCAUGCCGCGUGUGUGAAGAAGGCCCUCGGGUUGUAAAGCACUUUCAGUGAGGAAGAACGCCUGGUGGUUAAUACCCAUCAGGAAAGACAUCACUCACAGAAGAAGCACCGGCUAACUCCGUGCCAGCAGCCGCGGUAAUACGGAGGGUGCGAGCGUUAAUCGAAAUUACUGGGCGUAAAGCGCGCGUAGGUGGCUUGAUAAGCCGGUUGUGAAAGCCCCGGGCUCAACCUGGGAACGGCAUCCGGAACUGUCAAGCUAGAGUGCAGGAGAGGAAGGUAGAAUUCCCGGUGUAGCGGUGAAAUGCGUAGAGAUCGGGAGGAAUACCAGUGGCGAAGGCGGCCUUCUGGACUGACACUGACACUGAGGUGCGAAAGCGUGGGUAGCAAACAGGAUUAGAUACCCCUGUAGUC